Molecule: ribosomal RNA, 460 nt
Filed under: uncultured bacterium
Lineage: Bacteria
Description: partial 16S ribosomal RNA
Rfam family: Bacterial small subunit ribosomal RNA
Source: RNAcentral
GAUGAACGCUGGCGGCGUGCCUAAUACAUGCAAGUCGAGCGGUAAGGCCUCUUCGGAGGUACACGAGCGGCGGACGGCUGAGUAACACGUAGGAACGUACCCCAAAGUGAGGGAUAACUGCUCGAAAGAGUAGCUAAUACCGCAUGUGAUCCACGGAUUAAAGCUUUAUGCGCUUUGGGAACGGCCUGCGUUCGAUUAGCUAGAUGGUAGUGUAAUGGACUACCAUGGCGACGAUCGAUAGCUGGUCUGAGAGGAUGAGCAGCCAGACUGGGACUGCGACACGGCCCAGACUCCUACGGGAGGCAGCAGUAGGGAAUUUUCCACAAUGGGCGAAAGCCUGAUGGAGCAACGCCGCGUGCAGGAUGAAUGCCUUCGGGUUGUAAACUGCUUUUAUUAGUGACGAUUAUGACGGUAACUAAUGAAUAAGGACCUGCUAACUACGUGCCAGCAGCCGCCGUAA